This 1206-nucleotide long non-coding RNA is filed under the name Marmota monax (woodchuck). Lineage: Eukaryota; Metazoa; Chordata; Mammalia; Rodentia; Sciuridae. The record is from RNAcentral.
GCUUAAUAGCAUAUGUUUAUUUCAAUAUAACUAUCAUACUUAGAAUGCAUCUGGUUCUCUUAAUUUUCAGUCAUUUAGUGUACCUUAAUUUGCAAAACCAUUUUAGAGUUGCAUAUUACUUGACUUGUGAGUUAAGUUUCUUUCUUCCAUACUUUAGUUAUGGAAUAAUGGGAGAUGUUGCUAUAGUAGAGUGGGAAGAAACAGAUAAUAUUUAAAAAUCAUAUCCUGUUUUUCUUAUUGAUACCAGUGCCUUAUAUAUUCUUCCCAGUUCAUUUUCCUGGAUUGUGAAGUUUUGGUGGGGUUCGGACUCCAGAUAGGCAUUGUGAAGUAACUCAGAAAAUCCACCAUCUUUUCCAAAUUUCUUCUCUUUUCUGCUAGACUACUGUACUGAGAACAUAUAUUUUUUGUGAGGGUAGGCAUUUUAUUACUUUAAUAAAACGCUUAUUACAUUAUUAAAUUAUUCUAAAGUUUGAGUGUAUUUCUACUUAGUGGUUCCUUUUCUUCUACACAUUGAAUAUAUCUGUAAAGGUCUGUUCAUUGGGAUACUAUUGGAUAUAAAACAAUAUCUUUCUCUUUUAAGGAGGCUGUAUUGUGAUUUAGUCAUGCACAGAUUCAGAUAGGUAUAAUAAAAUAAAGAAAUAAUGAGAAAAACUAGUUCAUGCAUUAAGUGAUUCCCUAAAUCUUUCUCUUAAAAUUUUGCUGUAGAUAGGUGAUUUUGUGGUAUAAUUUUUGAAAUAAAACCUAGGUUUUUCUUCUGCUACUGGUGUUGACAUUUUAAAUUACCCAAGAGUAUAUAUGUAACAACAGGCUUUUACUGAUUGGCAUCUGAUUAUAUCUGAUAACAAUCUAAGAGAGGAGUUUUGAUGAAGUGUCAGCUUAAGGGUCAUUAAUAAAAAAACAUAAGUAACUAAUAAUCUGGAAAUCACUUCUAAAGCUUUAAAUGUGUAACAUGUAUUUGACUGUGCCUCAGUGAGAACCCAACAUGAAAAAUUUAUACACAGAGACCAGAUAAACUUAGAUUCUUUGUUUUACAACUUGAUUAUACUGAAUGUUUCUAAAAAGGGUGUUUAAAAAUGCUUUGCAUUUUUAUGGUAUACUUAUAACAUGGAAUUUAGCUUAAAACUGUUUUGUAUAUAUGAAUGUUUAUGUGUGUGUACACUUUUAGAAAGUCAUUUUAAUGAUAUAUGGCUUAGUGCUGUAGAACUU